GCCACGCCGCACCUUACCCCCAACGUCCCCGAUCUGGCCGCCGGCCUGCCCUGCCCAGCACGCCACCCGCCUGCCUUCCCCGACGCGCCGCCGCCCGUGCACCUUCCCCAGCGCGCCGUCGGCCCACCUUCCCCAGCUCGCCGCCGCCCCCACCUCCCUCCGGCGGUAGAAGCGCUGCCGCCCCCAUCUCCCUCCGCGGCAGAUGCGCCAUCGGGACUCCACCUCCUGGUUGGGCCGCCCCGUUAGCCUCCUCCCGCGGCCCCGCUCAAUCCAGCCCCGCCGGCUUCCCCAUGCGAGCCAACCAGGCUAGACGACCACCCCUCAAGCACCCGCCGUCGGUGUUUGCUUGGUGGAGACCAGGAGCAGCGACAGAGAGGCCGUCCCGAGGCGGAAUCCCUGCCUCCGCUUGGUUCCGUCCACGGCAGGACACCACCUCUCCCCCGUCGUCCACCGGCCAUGUACAUGUCCACAGCUUCCAUUUCAACCGUUGAAGCUACAGAUGGAGUGCGACAUGCAGCAGUGUCGCUCCAAUAGGCAUGCAACGCCGACGACGGCAGGGUGUGGCGUGCGUCUGUCCGGCAUGAUGGGUGUGGUGCCGAGGGGGCUGCACUUUGAAUUGGCUGGGGGUUAAAGUUCAGAUAAUGCUAUUGUCUGGUGGCAAAGGACCAUGCAGGCUGUUUCAUUACUGAAAAAACGCAUGAUGCAAGGAACAAGAUUUUUUCAAUGAACUCAUACUCUUAUUCUUUUCCCGUCCGGCUUUCUCUACCAUGGAUGUGUGCAUGCGUGCUAUGUGCGUGGGUGCACUACAGCAAUUUGUGUAAAAGAAGCAUUUUCAAUUGGGCAAAAUUAGUUGAUGGUUGUCGAAGUUCAGACAUUUGUAUUGGUGACGUUCAGUAAUUAUAGAAUGAGAAGUAGUGUGUGUCGUCUUGUGCCCACAUGGUGUUUGUGUUUGUGUGCCACUGGCUGCUA
Non-coding RNA from Triticum urartu, 969 nucleotides. The record is from RefSeq and is a predicted model, not a curated record. Lineage: Eukaryota; Viridiplantae; Streptophyta; Magnoliopsida; Poales; Poaceae.